Molecule: ribosomal RNA, 253 nt
Filed under: uncultured bacterium
Lineage: Bacteria
Description: partial 16S ribosomal RNA
Rfam family: Bacterial small subunit ribosomal RNA
Source: RNAcentral
UACGAAGGGGGCUAGCGUUACUCGGAUUGACUGGGCGUAAAGGGCGCGUAGGCGGUUUGUACAGUCAGGCGUGAAAGCCCCGGGCUCAACCUGGGAAUUGCGCUUGAUACUGCGGCGCUGGAAGGUGGGAGAGGAUGGCGGAAUUCCCAGUGUAGAGGUGAAAUUCGUAGAUAUUGGGAAGAACACCGGUGGCGAAGGCGGCCAUCUGGCCCAUUUUUGACGCUGAGGCGCGAAAGCGUGGGGAGCAAACAGG